GAUGAAGAACGCAGCGAAAUGCGAUAAGUAAUGUGAAUUGCAGAAUUCAGUGAAUCAUCGAAUCUUUGAACGCACCUUGCGCCCCUUGGUUAUUCCAAAGGGCAUGCCUGUUUGAGUAUCAUGAACACCUCAACUCUUGUGGUUUCCCACAAUGAGCUUGGACUGUGGAGGUUUUGUUGGCCCUGUGGUCAGCUCCUCUCAAAUGGAUCAGCUUACCGGUGUUUGGUGGCAUUACGGGUGUGAUAACUAUCUACGCUCGUGGUCGUCUCCAAAUAACCUCCAGUGAUGGAGGUUCGCUGGAGCUUAUAAAUGUCUCUCCCCAGUGAGGACAGCCUUUGAACGUUCGAUCUCAAAUCAGGUAGGACUACCCGCUGAACUUAAGCAUAUCAAUAAGCGGAGGA
Molecule: unclassified non-coding RNA, 401 nt
Filed under: soil metagenome
Description: partial contains 5.8S ribosomal RNA, internal transcribed spacer 2, and large subunit ribosomal RNA
Rfam family: 5.8S ribosomal RNA (bases 1-121)
Source: RNAcentral